RNAcentral lists this ribosomal RNA (667 nucleotides) under Datroniella tropica. RNAcentral's name for it is "eukaryotic LSU rRNA". The stretch from base 243 to 396 matches the Rfam family "5.8S ribosomal RNA". Lineage: Eukaryota; Fungi; Basidiomycota; Agaricomycetes; Polyporales; Polyporaceae. The record is from RNAcentral.
CCGUCUCGUGACUGCGGAGGAUCAUUACUGAGUCUUGAAUGGGUUGUAGCUGGCCUUCAUCUGGCAUGUGCUCACCCUGCUCAAAAUCCACUCUACAACUGUGCACUUACUGUGGGUCCUUGGGCUUUUUAGAUGGGCUCAAAGCUUUGUUGCUUGGGUUUUCUAAAUUGUCUGGGCUCAUGUCUUUAUCACACAAACACUGUAGUAUUGAGAAUGUGUAUUGCUGUAAUGCAUCUAUAUACAACUUUCAGCAACGGAUCUCUUGGCUCUCGCAUCGAUGAAGAACGCAGCGAAAUGCGAUAAGUAAUGUGAAUUGCAGAAUUCAGUGAAUCAUCGAAUCUUUGAACGCACCUUGCGCUCCUUGGUAUUCUGAGGAGCACACCUGUUUGAGUGUCAUGAAAUUCUCAACCUUGCAUGCCUUUUGUGGUUUGUUAGGCUUGGAUAUUGGAGGGUUUGUGUUGGCAUCUGGUCAACUCCUCUUAAAUGCAUUAGCUUGGUCCUUUGCAGAUCGGCUCUUGGUGUGAUAAACUGUUUAUGCCAUGACCGUGAAGUUUGGUAAGCUUAUAAUUGUCUCGGUGAGGAGACAGCUUUUGUUGACAUCUGGGCCUCAAAUCAGGUGGGAUUACCCGCUGAACUUAAGCAUAUCAAAAACCGGGAAGAAAACCCG